This 468-nucleotide ribosomal RNA is filed under the name uncultured bacterium. RNAcentral's name for it is "partial 16S ribosomal RNA". It matches the Rfam family "Bacterial small subunit ribosomal RNA", at positions 28 to 507 of the family's 1533-position model. The record is from RNAcentral.
GACGAACGCUGGCGGCGUGCUUAACACAUGCAAGUCGAACGGAAAGGCCCUGGUUUUGUGGGGUGCUCGAGUGGCGAACGGGUGAGUAACACGUGAGUAACCUGCCCUGGACUUUGGGAUAACUUCAGGAAACUGGGGCUAAUACCGGAUAGGAGCUCCUGCUGCAUGGUGGGGGUUGGAAAGUUUCGGCGGUUGGGGAUGGACUCGCGGCGUAUCAGCUUGUUGGUGGGGUAGUGGCUUACCAAGGCUUUGACGGGUAGCCGGCCUGAGAGGGUGACCGGCCACAUUGGGACUGAGAUACGGCCCAGACUCCUACGGGAGGCAGCAGUGGGGAAUAUUGCACAAUGGGCGGAAGCCUGAUGCAGCAACGCCGCGUGCGGGAUGACGGCCUUCGGGUUGUAAACCGCUUUCGCCUGUGACGAAGCGUGAGUGACGGUAAUGGGUAAAGAAGCACCGGCUAACUACGUG